This 230-nucleotide ribosomal RNA is filed under the name uncultured bacterium. RNAcentral's name for it is "partial 16S ribosomal RNA". It matches the Rfam family "Bacterial small subunit ribosomal RNA", at positions 335 to 583 of the family's 1533-position model. The record is from RNAcentral.
GUCCUACGGGACGCAGCAGUGAAGGAUAUUGGUCAAUGGGGGAAACCCUGAACCAGCAACGCCGCGUGAGGGAAGACGGUUUUCGGAUUGUAAACCUCUGUCCUCUGUGAAGAUAAUGACGGUAGCAGAGGAGGAAGCUCCGGCUAACUACGUGCCAGCAGCCGCGGUAAUACGUAGGGAGCGAGCGUUGUCCGGAUUUAUUGGGCGUAAAGCGAGUGCAGGCGGUUCCA